Long non-coding RNA from Oncorhynchus masou masou (cherry salmon), 515 nucleotides. RefSeq lists it as uncharacterized. The transcript is spliced from 3 exons. The record is from RefSeq and is a predicted model, not a curated record. NCBI's taxonomy places the organism in Eukaryota, Metazoa, Chordata, Actinopteri, Salmoniformes, Salmonidae.
UGUUUGCUAGCAGAAUUGAGGGGAGUGUGGGUUUAUUCAAUUGCCUCAGACUCCUCAGAAGGCAGCCUGCCCUCCGGUCUCUCUUUCUCCGCCUCCUUUUCACACAGAUCACUGGGGGUCGGGGCCUGUUCCCGAGGGAGACAUAUAUCCUCCGCCUCGUCAGAGUUGUGAAAGAAGAAAAAGGAUUCUGCUAGUCCGUGGUAACCCAUAAGGACAGCCUCCCCUCUGAGAUAGUGUUCACGGUGAAGAUGGCUCCAUUCCAUGGUUUCCUGCAUAGGUCAACACCUGUGAGAAGAUCACCACUACCAGGGGACCAGAGAGUGUCCCCCAGGAGCAUGUCAACACUGGCCACAUCCAGCACCUCCAGGUGGAUCCAGACCAGAGUCACGGCACUUUCCUCCUGGACAAACGCCAACGGCAUCACAGAGGUCCAUGACAUCAAGGUCUCUGUGGAUAUCAUCCCGCUCCAUGUCUUUAGAGUGACCCUGGAGGAAGGGUCAUCAGAGGCCCUGACC